Molecule: ribosomal RNA, 253 nt
Filed under: uncultured bacterium
Lineage: Bacteria
Description: partial 16S ribosomal RNA
Rfam family: Bacterial small subunit ribosomal RNA
Source: RNAcentral
GACGUAGGGCGCGAGCGUUGUCCGGAUUUAUUGGGCGUAAAGAGCUCGUAGGCGGCUUGUCGCGUCGUCCGUGAAAACUUGGGGCUCAACCCCAAGCUUGCGGUCGAUACGGGCAGGCUCGAGUUCGGUAGGGGAGACUGGAAUUCCUGGUGUAGCGGUGGAAUGCGCAGAUAUCAGGAGGAACACCGAUGGCGAAGGCAGUUCUCUGGGCCGUAACUGACGCUGAGGAGCGAAAGCGUGGGGAGCGAACAGG